UCGGCUAAUCGCACCUGGUCGCGAUCACCAGAUUGGAAUUUCGUCGAAAGAGAAUGAGCAGUGAAAUCGGUUUACACACAGCGUAGGUAUAAGACACACGAUGCGUGUAGGACACCCGAAUUCGGGACGUUUAGCACCUUCGCGACAAAGCUGACACAACUAAAAAUUGUCAUUUUUCGUAUUAAGACCAUAGUUGGAUUUGCAAAUUUCGAAUCUGGAAGCUUGAAAAGUGAUAUUUCUGUAAUUGAAAAAUUACGGCUCAUUAGCCAGCAGAAGUGACACCAGUCAAAAGGACUCUGUUCCUGCCACGUAAGAGCCUUUAGUAAAACGGAAUGGAUCCGAAUUUUUUACAAAUGAAUUAAGAAGCCGUGAAAAAACUUUUCACCGUAAACGGUUUACUUGAUAGAACUACAGCAGUAGCGGUUCAAGAGAUUUUCUCCCAGGAAUGAAAAAUAAGGGACUUUGAAGGAGCGCGUGUCUCUCCGGUUUCCGGAAUCCAGUUUGAUCUCGCGGAUUCCAGAGGACUGUAUACCUACACUCGCCAGUACCUGCCAGAGCGUCGCGACGCCGUCCUGUCAACCUCCCGCAAGAUAUUUUUCCCGUAUGGCUUACAACGAAGUAAAGUAACACCACUUCAAAGCGUGGCUCGACUUACAAUCGAACUGGGUUCGUUACUUUGGGUCUUUUAAUCAACUCGAUAACGUGCGAAACUGGAACGCUUCUUCCUCUCUUCGGCAUUAAACACUGCAGUUCCUUCUACAUCGACGAUCAGUGUUGUUUUACCGGAAACUAAGCCCCGCGGUGUCUCAACGAAGCGUGGGAGCGGCGAACGAAGAAGGGAAGAAGAAAAACGAGGACAAAGGAAGGAAAAGGGAAAAGACAAGUCGCUGAGCACAGGGAUUCAUCCGUCACUGUCGAUAUGUCGGAAAGCCAAAAAGCCGCCUCACCGUGGAAAAAAAAGAAGGUGAAAACCCCGAUGUAUGUACAUAAAUGAAAAAACAACCAUGACUCGAUCAGUGUAACGGAAAAAUUCAACCGAAGAAAGAAAUAACCGUGAAAAAUCAGGGUGAAACUACAAACGAUACACUGGGGGCCGUUUCCACCUGUACCCGAUAAGUCGUUUCGCCUUGUUGGAUAUUUUCUUUUUCACUGUUUUCGUUAUUACUCCGAUUGUAUACGUAUACCGAUCAAUCUAGAACAACGUUAAAUGGAACUUCGAGCAAAGGAAUUA
RNAcentral lists this long non-coding RNA (1231 nucleotides) under Neodiprion lecontei (redheaded pine sawfly). Its description in RNAcentral is "uncharacterized LOC124295394, transcript variant X1". The record is from RNAcentral. Lineage: Eukaryota; Metazoa; Arthropoda; Insecta; Hymenoptera; Diprionidae.